CCUACGGGGGGCAGCAGUGGGGAAUAUUGGGCAAUGGGGGCAACCCUGAUCCAGCCAUGCCGCGUGUGUGAAGAAGGCCCUCGGGUUGUAAAGCACUUUCAGUGAGGAAGAACGCCUGGUGGUUAAUACCCAGCAGGAAAGACAUCACUCACAGAAGAAGCACCGGCUAACUCCGUGCCAGCAGCCGCGGUAAUACGGAGGGUGCGAGCGUUAAUCGGAAUUACUGGGCGUAAAGCGCGCGUAGGUGGCUUGAUAAGCCGGUUGUGAAAGCCCCGGGCUCAACCUGGGAACGGCAUCCGGAACUGUCAAGCUAGAGUGCAGGAGAGGAAGGUAGAAUUCCCGGUGUAGCGGUGAAAUGCGUAGAGAUCGGGAGGAAUACCAGUGGCGAAGGCGGCCUUCUGGACUGACACUGACACUGAGGUGCGAAAGCGUGGGUAGCAAACAGGAUUAGAUACCCUUGUAGUC
Molecule: ribosomal RNA, 465 nt
Filed under: Vreelandella stevensii
Lineage: Bacteria; Pseudomonadati; Pseudomonadota; Gammaproteobacteria; Oceanospirillales; Halomonadaceae
Description: partial 16S ribosomal RNA
Rfam family: Bacterial small subunit ribosomal RNA
Source: RNAcentral